GCACUUCUCAUGCCUCAGCCUCCCAAGUAGCUGGAACUACAGUGCCAUGGUGAGCAUACUUGUGCACACAUGUGAGGAGGAUCUAUUUCUAGAAGAACUGCUGGGUCAAAGGCUCUGUACAUUUACAAUUGACUGAUUCUGUUAAAUCAUCUUCUAAAAAAGCUUCACUGCAUUAUAUUCCCACCAAGAAUGUACAAGAAUAUGGCCUGUUUUUCUAUAUGUGAAAUAAAGGGAUUGGAUUGUU
This 244-nucleotide long non-coding RNA is filed under the name Homo sapiens (human). RNAcentral's name for it is "HSALNT0363424". Lineage: Eukaryota; Metazoa; Chordata; Mammalia; Primates; Hominidae. The record is from RNAcentral.